AAAUCUAAGGACCACUCUAUUCACCCUACAGUGACUGCUCUUUUUCCCUCCUGCCACAGUCCAGGGUAGGAGAUACUUCUCCAGGCUCUCACUUAUGGGGGCUUUCCUGCUGGCUACAUCACUGAAAUGGAAUCUCCUAGUGGCCCUUCUCCCUCUACAGCUCUGGUGUUACACUGAAAAACUAGAAGUUUCAAAACAGACAAGGGAAAAAGAGAAACAUCAGAAAGUCUGAUUAAAGUAGAAGCAUCAUAUUUCUAUCAACGUAUCCACUGUGCUUGAGAUGGAGUCUCACUACAUUACCCAGGCUGGUCUCGAACUCCUGAACUUGAGCUAUCCUCCUGCCUUGGGCUCCCAAGGCGCUAGGAUUACAGGCAUUAUAGUAUACAUAGCCUUGGAAUCAGAAGACCAAGAACAUACAAGAGAACAUAGCCUUGGAAUCAGAAGACCAAGAAACAAUUUAACUCUGCCCCUCUAGAGCUCUGAGAACUUGGGCAAGCCUUUUACCCUCUGUGAGUUUCAGUUUCCUCAUUUAUUUAAUUGAAAUAAUAAUACAGAUCACCUGAAAUGUAAUGAAAAUUAAACAUCCUUAUGUAGGUGAAACCAACUGGCAGCAUGCCUGGAAUAUAGUGAGUGCUCAUUCGGUCUCUUGUAUUUUCUUUCUAUACCCUACUUCUGUUCCCUUGGAUUCAUAUACCUGAAUUGGAAACACCCAAAGUCAAAAAGAAUAAGAAAAAUCUUUAGAAAUGUAGCAUAUUACCAAGAUCUGCAAAUUUCUGCCCAGAGCAGAUGGUUCUAAUAAAGAAAGUCGGAUCUUAUGUUGAGUUCUUUUCUGUCCAAGAAUAGAAGACCUUCCCUCUUCUCCAGUAGUGAAGAAUAGGAUUCAUCAGCCUUGGGGGCAAAGUUAAAAACUUGCUCUAGAAAGUGGCCUGGAUAGUCAGAAACUGCUUAGACUCACUCCAUCUGUUCUAUACACAUACACACACCUUUGUUUGUCAGUAAAAUAUUCAAUGAGACUUGAUAGUCCAAUCCUUUGAAACCAGAAUAAUAUUUGAAAUUUUGAUGAUUUUAUCUAACUGCUAAUAUCACUUGCAGGUCAUCAGUGUUUUACAUCCAACAAACUAAUGGUCAUUUGCUGCUUUAUAAAGAGCCGAUAUAAUUUUGUCUUCCUUGUUAUUAAAGGAUCAAGCAAGGGUGUUUCUGUACCAGUUCAACUUUCCUUAUUUGCUUAUUAGUCAGUAAUAUUCAAGAAAAUCCUAGUUUUAAAAAAUGUCAUUACAUGUUAAACUGUGGAAAGAGUCACCAUCAUUUGAAUAAAUCUUGAGUAAGCCCA
This is a long non-coding RNA of Homo sapiens (human), 1330 nucleotides long. Ensembl annotates it as JUN divergent transcript. Its record names the gene JUN-DT. The record is from Ensembl. Lineage: Eukaryota; Metazoa; Chordata; Mammalia; Primates; Hominidae.